This 441-nucleotide ribosomal RNA is filed under the name uncultured Caldilinea sp. RNAcentral's name for it is "partial 16S ribosomal RNA". Lineage: Bacteria; Bacillati; Chloroflexota; Caldilineae; Caldilineales; Caldilineaceae. The record is from RNAcentral.
GACUACACGGGUAUCUAAGCCCGUUCGCUCCCCACGCUUUCGCACCUGAGCGUCAGGCUAAUGCCAGGGUGCCGCUUUCGCCACUGAUGUUCCUCCCGAUAUCUACGCAUUCCACCACUACACCGGGAAUUCCACACCCCUCUCAUCGCCUCAAGCCAAGUAGUUUCCAACGACCGCUCCCGGUUAAGCCGGGAGAUUUCACGUCAGACUUUCUCAGCCGCCUGCGUGCGCUUUACGCCCAGUAAUUCCGGAUAACGCUUGUCACCUACGUAUUACCGCGGCUGCUGGCACGUAGUUAGCCGUGACUUAUUCUCAGGGUACCGUCCGCUCUCUUCCCCUGCAAAAGAAGUUUACAACCCAAGGGCCUUCAUCCUUCACGCGGCGUUGCUGGGUCAGGCUUGCGCCCAUUGCCCAAUAUUCCUCACUGCAGCCGCCCGUAGG